UCCCUGGAGGACUAGUGGUUAGGCCCCAGCACUCUCAUCGCUGCAGCCUGGGUUUGAUCCCCAGCCAGGGAA
Molecule: transfer RNA, 72 nt
Filed under: Pangasianodon gigas (Mekong giant catfish)
Lineage: Eukaryota; Metazoa; Chordata; Actinopteri; Siluriformes; Pangasiidae
Description: tRNA-Glu
Rfam family: tRNA
About the family: Transfer RNA (tRNA) molecules are approximately 80 nucleotides in length. Their secondary structure includes four short double-helical elements and three loops (D, anti-codon, and T loops).
Source: RNAcentral